This 853-nucleotide ribosomal RNA is filed under the name Curvularia caricae-papayae. RNAcentral describes it as "eukaryotic LSU rRNA". It matches the Rfam family "Eukaryotic large subunit ribosomal RNA", at positions 68 to 939 of the family's 3401-position model. The record is from RNAcentral. Lineage: Eukaryota; Fungi; Ascomycota; Dothideomycetes; Pleosporales; Pleosporaceae.
ACAGGGAUUGCCCUAGUAACGGCGAGUGAAGCGGCAACAGCUCAAAUUUGAAAUCUGGCUCUUUCAGAGUCCGAGUUGUAAUUUGCAGAGGGCGCUUUGGCUUUGGCAGCGGUCCAAGUUCCUUGGAACAGGACGUCACAGAGGGUGAGAAUCCCGUACGUGGUCGCUAGCUAUUGCCGUGUAAAGCCCCUUCGACGAGUCGAGUUGUUUGGGAAUGCAGCUCUAAAUGGGAGGUAAAUUUCUUCUAAAGCUAAAUAUUGGCCAGAGACCGAUAGCGCACAAGUAGAGUGAUCGAAAGAUGAAAAGCACUUUGGAAAGAGAGUCAAACAGCACGUGAAAUUGUUGAAAGGGAAGCGCUUGCAGCCAGACUUGCUUGCAGUUGCUCAUCCGGGCUUUUGCCCGGUGCACUCUUCUGUAGGCAGGCCAGCAUCAGUUUGGGCGGUGGGAUAAAGGUCUCUGACACGUUCCUUCCUUCGGGUUGGCCAUAUAGGGGAGACGACAUACCACCAGCCUGGACUGAGGUCCGCGCAUCUGCUAGGAUGCUGGCGUAAUGGCUGUAAGCGGCCCGUCUUGAAACACGGACCAAGGAGUCUAACAUCUAUGCGAGUGUUUGGGUGUCAAGCCCGAACGCGUAAUGAAAGUGAACGGAGGUGGGAACCCGCAAGGGCGCACCAUCGACCGAUCCUGAAGUUUACGGAAGGAUUUGAGUAAGAGCAUGGCUGUUGGGACCCGAAAGAUGGUGAACUAUGCUUGAAUAGGGUGAAGCCAGAGGAAACUCUGGUGGAGGCUCGCAGCGGUUCUGACGUGCAAAUCGAUCGUCAAAUUUGGGCAUAGGGGCGAAAGACUAAUCGAA